UACAGAGGUCCCAAGCGUUGUUCGGAUUCAUUGGGCGUAAAGGGUGUGUAGGUGGCGCCGUAAGUCGGGUGUGAAAUUUCGGAGCUUAACUCCGAAACUGCAUUCGAUACUGCGGUGCUUGAGGACUGGAGAGGAGACUGGAAUUCAUGGUGUAGCAGUGAAAUGCGUAGAGAUCAUGAGGAAGACCAGUGGCGAAGGCGGGUCUCUGGACAGUUCCUGACGCUGAGGCACGAAGGUCAGGGGAGCAAACGGG
RNAcentral lists this ribosomal RNA (253 nucleotides) under uncultured bacterium. RNAcentral's name for it is "partial 16S ribosomal RNA". It matches the Rfam family "Bacterial small subunit ribosomal RNA", at positions 524 to 776 of the family's 1533-position model. The record is from RNAcentral.